Canis lupus familiaris (dog) is the source of this 1103-nucleotide long non-coding RNA. RefSeq lists it as uncharacterized. NCBI's taxonomy places the organism in Eukaryota, Metazoa, Chordata, Mammalia, Carnivora, Canidae. The record is from RefSeq and is a predicted model, not a curated record. The transcript has 2 exons.
CGCUGCGGGGCAGACACCCGACACGGAAUCCCGCCGGGCCGGGGGCCUCGGCCUCCGGAUCCCCGGGGAAGGCGGCAGGGGCCGAGGCUGUUACGGGACUCGGUGACCCGGGCAGCCGCCCCCGGUAGAAACACAGGUGCCGGCGGCGGGCUCCGCGGAGCCGAAGCCCCGGUGAGCGCGCACCCGGCCCUCAGCGGAACCGCCCGGCGACCACGGCCAGCGGCCGCGCGUUCCUGCUUACUCACCUACUGCGCACCUUCGCACCCAGCAUUCUCGCUCAGGGCGUGCAAGGCCGGGGUGGGGGCCCAGGGCGCCUUAGGCAGGCCGCCCCGCCCCAGAAGCUGCCGGCCGGCCACCGGGUGACCGCGCAGCCCCCGCCAAACGCGCGUCCCACGCGAGGCAGGAGCGCGCCGCGACCCGAAUCCCGAGGGGACGAUAAGCCGAGUCGCUUUAAGAGGAGGUGGGAGGGGAGGGCGGAGAGGGAGAGAAGCGAGUCCUUGGCAGAGGGCACAGGAACCAGGAAAGCUUGGAACUGAAAUCGCAGGCUGUGCGGGGCCCCUGGCUGCAGGGUGAGGUGCGGCCCUGUGACGUCAGGAUGCCACGAGGCCGGAGAGGAAGACCGGGGAGCGCCGAGGAAGCCAAGGCCUCCUCCGGGACCACGGACGACCGCUGGGGAAUCUCACGUCAGGAAUGAAUGGCCCUGGAGAGCCCCCCCGCCCCCCGCCCUUGCAAAAGAGAAGAGAGAAGACUCAGUCGCUCUCUCCACGCCUGCCUCGAAGACAACCUGCCAACAGUAAUGAAAGUAUCCUGAUUGGAAGACAAAGGUGAAGACAUUCUAUCUACCAUGAGCUUAUAAAGGUAUUUGAACAAAUUGGGCGUGUGAUAUCUACUGCCUGAAAUUGCUAAUUUAGGUGCAGAGAGCAAGUUUUCUAGAUUCCCUCAGGCUAACCUAAUUGACCUCUAUCCAAUCACAUCCACCAAAAAGAAAACUAAAAACAAGAGCACACACAACCCCGCUGCUCCCUCUACAUGUGUGACGCCACUUAUUUCCAUUUUUCUGCUGCGUAUUACCUUAUAAAGCCUAUAAAACCUUGUACAAAGCA